This 255-nucleotide long non-coding RNA is filed under the name Elaeis guineensis (African oil palm). RNAcentral describes it as "long non-coding RNA (EGUI_LNC049329)". Lineage: Eukaryota; Viridiplantae; Streptophyta; Magnoliopsida; Arecales; Arecaceae. The record is from RNAcentral.
GUGGCUAAUUCUCUCGAGACUAUCAAAAUUUUCUAUAACCUAAUAGAUGAAUUUAAAAAAUUUAUAGGCUGACAAAAAAUCAUCAAAAUUAGUACUAACUAAAGUUGUUAAACUUUCGGGAUUAUGCAUAGCUAUUGGUUGAUUGAGGCUCAAUAAACUAUGUAAACAAAUCUCUUGUUAGGGUAGGCAAGGAGGGGCAUCCUCAUAAUUAGAUUUACCUUUAUAACUUUUCAGAUUUACCUUUUAAUUAAUGAG